This 763-nucleotide ribosomal RNA is filed under the name uncultured Streptococcus sp. RNAcentral describes it as "bacterial SSU rRNA". It matches the Rfam family "Bacterial small subunit ribosomal RNA", at positions 28 to 776 of the family's 1533-position model. The record is from RNAcentral. Lineage: Bacteria; Bacillati; Bacillota; Bacilli; Lactobacillales; Streptococcaceae.
GACGAACGCUGGCGGCGUGCGUAAUACAUGCAAGUAGAACGCUGAAGGAGGAGCUUGCUUCUCUGGAUGAGUUGCGAACGGGUGAGUAACGCGUAGGUAACCUGCCUGGUAGCGGGGGAUAACUAUUGGAAACGAUAGCUAAUACCGCAUAAUAGUAGAUGUUGCAUGACAUUUGCUUAAAAGGUGCAAUUGCAUCACUACCAGAUGGACCUGCGUUGUAUUAGCUAGUUGGUGGGGUAACGGCUCACCAAGGCGACGAUACAUAGCCGACCUGAGAGGGUGAUCGGCCACACUGGGACUGAGACACGGCCCAGACUCCUACGGGAGGCAGCAGUAGGGAAUCUUCGGCAAUGGACGGAAGUCUGACCGAGCAACGCCGCGUGAGUGAAGAAGGUUUUCGGAUCGUAAAGCUCUGUUGUAAGAGAAGAACGAGUGUGAGAGUGGAAAGUUCACACUGUGACGGUAUCUUACCAGAAAGGGACGGCUAACUACGUGCCAGCAGCCGCGGUAAUACGUAGGUCCCGAGCGUUGUCCGGAUUUAUUGGGCGUAAAGCGAGCGCAGGCGGUUAGAUAAGUCUGAAGUUAAAGGCUGUGGCUUAACCAUAGUACGCUUUGGAAACUGUUUAACUUGAGUGCAAGAGGGGAGAGUGGAAUUCCAUGUGUAGCGGUGAAAUGCGUAGAUAUAUGGAGGAACACCGGUGGCGAAAGCGGCUCUCUGGCUUGUAACUGACGCUGAGGCUCGAAAGCGUGGGGAGCAAACAGG